GGAGGCAACGACAAAACCUACAUUUGCGCUAACUCUAACGGCACUGCCACGUUCUUCUUUGCCCUCCUGAACAACAACACCCUAGAGAUUCAGAAUGACACUACGAGCAUCAGUAAUGUGUCCGCUUCAGUCAACUCGACCACCAUCCAGUGUGUGUUUGCUGUGACUGGCCUAAACGCAUCAAUGUCCCGUAGCGCUGACAACACCUUUGCUGUCGUACUGGCCACAGGGACUCUUUCUUCUGAUGGUACACCUUCAACCCCAACUGUGAAGACGGUCACCGCUCUGCUGGACCUGUCCAACCCAAGUAGCAGCAACACAGCCACAGUAACUACUGCUCCCAACGUUACAACUGAUGCCAACGCUACAACCGCUGCCACCACCACCACCACCACGGCCACAACCACAACAGUCUCAGGGGCGAACAUUGGUCUGCAACACAGUCUUUCACAAGCUCUGUUGAUUCUCUUCGGCGUCCUGGCCAUCAGUCUGUUGUGAGUCUUCCCGAGAGGCCCACAUCGCCUGUUGACAGGAAACGAUGCAUUGCUUCCCCCCACUGCCAAAGACUACAGCCUGCCUGACAGCGUCCUGCCACAGGACCAUCACUAUAUGAUGGCUACCCAUCACAUCUUAUUUAUUCAUUCAUUUCCAC
Molecule: long non-coding RNA, 652 nt
Organism: Clupea harengus (Atlantic herring)
Lineage: Eukaryota; Metazoa; Chordata; Actinopteri; Clupeiformes; Clupeidae
Source: Ensembl